UACGUAGGUGGCAAGCGUUAUCCGGAUUUAUUGGGUGUAAAGGGCGUGUAGGCGGGAGCGCAAGUCAGAUGUGAAAACUCAGGGCUCAACCCUGAGCCUGCAUUUGAAACUGUGUUUCUUAGUGCUGGAGAGGCAAUCGGAAUUCCGUGUGUAGCGGUGAAAUGCGUAGAUAUACGGAGGAACACCAGUGGCGAAGGCGGAUUGCUGGACAGUAACUGACGCUGAGGCGCGAAAGCGUGGGGAGCAAACAGG
This 252-nucleotide ribosomal RNA is filed under the name uncultured bacterium. RNAcentral's name for it is "partial 16S ribosomal RNA". It matches the Rfam family "Bacterial small subunit ribosomal RNA", at positions 524 to 776 of the family's 1533-position model. The record is from RNAcentral.